GAUGAACGCUAGCGGCAGGCCUAAUACAUGCAAGUCGAACGGGAUCUGAGGGUAGCUUGCUACCCGAUUUGAGAGUGGCGCACGGGUGCGUAACGCGUGAGCAACCUACCCAUAUCAGGGGGAUAGCCCGAAGAAAUUCGGAUUAACACCGCAUAAUAAUACGCUAACACAUGUUGGUGUAUUUAAAUAUUUAUAGGAUAUGGAUGGGCUCGCGUGACAUUAGCUAGUUGGUAAGGUAACGGCUUACCAAGGCGACGAUGUCUAGGGGCUCUGAGAGGAGAAUCCCCCACACUGGUACUGAGACACGGACCAGACUCCUACGGGAGGCAGCAGUAAGGAAUAUUGGUCAAUGGGCGCAAGCCUGAACCAGCCAUGCCGCGUGCAGGAUGACUGCCCUAUGGGUUGUAAACUGCUUUUGUUAGGGAAUAAACCUUCUUACGUGUAAGGAGCUGAAUGUACCUAAGGAAUAAGGAUCGGCUAACUCCGUGCCAGCAGCCGCCGCCG
RNAcentral lists this ribosomal RNA (504 nucleotides) under uncultured bacterium. RNAcentral's name for it is "partial 16S ribosomal RNA". It matches the Rfam family "Bacterial small subunit ribosomal RNA", at positions 28 to 523 of the family's 1533-position model. The record is from RNAcentral.